GUCCAGACUCCUACGGGAGGCAGCAGUGAGGAAUAUUGGUCAAUGGGCGUAAGCCUGAACCAGCCAAGUCGCGUGAGGGAUGAAGGAUCUAUGGUUCGUAAACCUCUUUUAUAAGGGAAUAAAGUGCGGGACGUGUCCUGUUUUGUAUGUACCUUAUGAAUAAGGAUCGGCUAACUCCGUGCCAGCAGCCGCGGUAAUACGGAGGAUCCGAGCGUUAUCCGGAUUUAUUGGGUUUAAAGGGUGCGUAGGCGGCCUUUUAAGUCAGCGGUGAAAGUCUGUGGCUCAACCAUAGAAUUGCCGUUGAAACUGGGGGGCUUGAGUAUGUUUGAGGCAGGCGGAAUGCGUGGUGUAGCGGUGAAAUGCAUAGAUAUCACGCAGAACCCCGAUUGCGAAGGCAGCCUGCCAAGCCAUGGCUGACGCUGAUGCACGAAAGCGUGGGGAUCGAACAGGAUUAGAUACCCCGGUAAC
This 468-nucleotide ribosomal RNA is filed under the name uncultured bacterium. RNAcentral describes it as "bacterial SSU rRNA". It matches the Rfam family "Bacterial small subunit ribosomal RNA", at positions 329 to 795 of the family's 1533-position model. The record is from RNAcentral.